AGUGAGAGAGAGAGAGAGAGAGGUCUCUCAACCCAUCAAGCACGUUUGACACGUUAGGUGAUCAAUACUUCUACGCUAGCUAGGUAUGCUGCAUUAUUGUUGCUCUUUAAGCUAUUUGCAUGCAUGGUGAAAAACGUAGAGGGCCGUAUGCCAUGGAGCUAAUUAUAUAGAUUUGGUUUCUGGUUUGGAUGUACUAGUGGUCGUUCCAAGCCACUACAAAACAUUAGGCCCAUCUAAUUUGGGUUGUAGACCUUCUGUGGUGGAGAAGCUCGCCACCAUAAGCCCAGCUAAUCCUCCUAAUUUGGCCUUCGUUUAGGUACACAUUCACGACUCUAAUUGGUAGCAAUCGUCCAUAGGCGCUUUCGGUUGUGGACUCCGAAAAUGCCACUCUACAUGUUUCUAUGAACUGUGAAUAGCGGUCCGGUGUACGCUCUUCAGCCCAUAUAUCGGCCAGCUCCUAAGAAUUUGAGUAACGCUCUACUUACAGUAAUUUUAGGAAAAACUUUAAUAUCACUCUAUAGGCUUCAACUUUUUUACUUUAUAUUCUAUGGUUAACAGUGUAUUAAUUUAGUACCUGUUGAUUUUAUUUUUUUUUUAUUAUCAAUUUUAUUAUUUUUUUUUUCUUAAAUCAAGUAAUAAAUUAAAAACUAACAGAGUAUUAAAGUGAAUUUUGAUAAUUAUCUAUGGGUAUCUUGAGAAGUUUUUGUGAUAUAAUUACAAAUUUAACAAAGAAACUAGGCGAAAAGAAAAAAAUGAAAUUCACAGAACACUAAAUUGGUACUAUUUAAACAUAGAGUUAGUAGAAUGAGGAAAGUGCCCGAAACAUAUGGAGUAAGUAUUUUGAAGUUUACUCCUAAUUUAUAAUUUUUAAUAUAUUUGGCUUAUUAUGUGUAGAGCCUUUUUAAUUGGCAAAUGGAUUACCAUUUUCAUGAGGGUGCUUGUUUGUAGUUCCUAAGGACAAAGAAUUAUAUAAACCUAACUACUAAAUUUAAAUUAUAGGAUUGGUUGUAAGAAGUAGUUUGUAGAAAUGAUUAUUUUAAGAAUUUAACUAGCUGUCUAUAAUUUGCCAAGUAUAGGUUAUCUUUUGUGACUGCAUACAAUUUGAUUUUAGUUUUUGGUAUAGGUCAAUGAUUAUAAAUUUUUCAUUGGACAAUGCAUUACGCUUUAAUUAGAUUGAUCAAUUGAUUGUCAUCCGGCCACGAUGCCAAUUCCCAGUACUCUUGCGGACUCACGGAUUAUUUCAACAAAGACGCUUUUUCUAGCAUAUUCAUCAGCCACUGUAAAAGAGGUCCCUAGCUCAAGUCAGUAGAUUCUAAGAAUGUGACAAAUUUUGCGAACACAUUUCAUGAUAUUCAACAAAGUUGUAGGUUUAUAAUUACGCUUUUGAGGCUCACUGGUGAUGUAUAUAUAGAUUAUUUACGUUUUUAUUUAUUGACUGCGAGGACUGAUUAUGGUCAAAUAUUUUACAAUGUCCUCAACAUUGACGCUAAGAUCAAUUAUCUAUUACGACGCCAUGCAAUUAAUGACUUUUGACCUAAUGCAAUCAGUGAAUCGUCAGCAUGUAUCGAACCUUACGCUCUCUGAGAGAUUAUAUGCCUAACAAUGCUUAUUUUUGUGAUCCACUAUUCUUGAUUGCCAUUAAGCCGUCAGUAUGCAUUAUAUCAAAUAUGACCUGGUUUCCAUUUAGUAUCCCGUUCAUUGUUGUGAUGAGGAGCUAGUAAUCGAAUUUCAACCACACCACUUAAGCCGAGUAAUCUUAAAACUGCCACAAAUAUUCCUAGUCUACGAUGGAUCCAAGAUAUUAUAGAUUGGAACUUAUGGCCAUAUUUGAAUACAUCAUCUAAGCCUUAGAAUGCUUAACUUAAUUAGGUCAGAUCAUUUCGUUUUCAAUAAUUUACUCUUUAUAAUUAGCUAAUGAAACUAUUCACAUUAUAAAUUUGUAUAUUAAACACUGUCCAUCACAAAAUAGAGGGCUGAAUAAUUUGCGGUGUCAGGGUACGUAACCAAAUUCUUUAUUCCACAAUUCUCUUGAUGUUUUGAAGAAUAAAUGAAAGAUUAAAACACAGAAAAUUAUACUUGAUUUAAUGACAAAAAAGUUAGAACGGUUGCACAAUAGAGGAAACAGUAGGCAUCAAAGUUGCAUCAAAAUCCUUAGCUCUUGAAUCUUUUAUUUCUGCGAACAAUUGAUCAUAAACGAAUUUUUACUUGUUUUCACCUAUAAUCGCAUUAAUUACUUGACAUUUUGACAGAAAGGACAUGCAUGCAUGAAUGUACUAUUCAUUCAUUCGGUAUUACUAUGUUUGCAAAGUUACCAUUAAUCAAGAGUAAACAUGUUUAUGUAUGGCAAAUGAAUUUAAACGAAAAAUAUGCUAGCUUAUGCGCAGCGAUGAUAACAUGCACUUAAUUGAAUACCCACUGUCCCGCAACAGAAAAAUAAUCUCAUAAUUAAGUUGUUCUGAGGAAAAAUAAACAUGCUAUAUACGUAAGGGUCGGGAGGAAGAAAGAAAGAUGGCAACAGGAAUAGCAAUGAUGAAGAGUGAGUUGAGAGAUUAAAGCAAUGAAGCGCAUGCGUUAUUUCAAAGACUCGAGUGCAACUAUAUAUGGAAAUUUAGUUAUACAUUAUCAAUUCGAAGGGCCUAUAUAUUUUUUUGUCUUCGUCUUUUGCGAUAUUAGCUAAGCUACAUAGCAUGCCAUAUGAAUUAUCAUAAUAUAUAUUUUUGUCACUUUAUGGUGACAGGAUUGAAGAUUCCUGGGGUUGAUAAAAUAGAUUAAAUGCGUUUCUGGAUCAGACGGGGCAAUUAACAACAUUAUCUCUGCUUACAUUAAUUCCUCAUUGGUGUGAAUUGCAAUAUGACGUCACCGUUGCUUGUAUAAAUAUUGAAAUGCUUUCCAUAUGGCUUUUUUAUUUAUUUUUCAAUCAGGCAUAAGCAACGGUUCAACGAGUCAGAAUUAAAAAUAAACGAUGCUUUCAAUUUGAGAUGACUUUUCACACUGCUCUCAUGCAAUUAGUAAUGUCUCUACUUCAAUUUCUCGCUUGGUUAGUAUUUCUUCUUACUUGAAUAUUUUAUUGUGGCAUAAGUUCGAUUUUAUUUUGUAUGUUUGCUCUGUGUUCCAUUGAUGGUAAAUUUUUGGUCACACGAAGCUUGAUCUCUUUAAAAGCAAUGACAAGUGAGAUCAAAUACAUCUUCUUACAAUAACAAAGAAUCAUCAAACACAAGGACGAUGAUCACUAGUUUCACACAUACAUCAAAUUUCACCCGCAGCAAUCUACAAGACCAUUUUCCCAUCAUGGUGACGAAUCCAUAUUAGAAAGCGGUAAAUAUCAACAAGAUCUUCAAGAUCGAAUAAACGCAAUAAACAGGAUUUUGACGAAAUUAGUGAAUCGGCCUUAAAUAUAAAGGACACUGGCCUCCACACCUUGAUUUUUUUUAAUUUCAGUUUAUUACUAGGAGUUGAUAUUUCUUUUAGUAUGAUGUACGAGAUAUAAAAGAGGCAGGAUGCUAACCUAGGAUAGGAAUUAUGAAAUGAUACCUUGAUAUUGAUUAUUGUUUUCGAAUUAAUUCUCCUCGUCCUUCUCUAUUCUCCUUUGUAUCUAAUCUUAUUCUUCUCUUCCAAAUUUACUCUUAAGUUCUUCCAAUUCUUAGCUUACUCUUUAUCCUUACCUGGUACUGCAAUAUGGGUCGGAUCAACGGCUCAUCCUCGAGCCUCCUCUCUCAGCGAGAUCUAUCAUCGAUGGGGUUACGCGAGUCAGGUCGUACACAAUUUUUGUCACAUGACACUCUGAACAAAUUGACCCUCAGCGAAAAAUUUUUAGAUUCAGGAAGGAGUUGAAAGACAAGCACUGAAUCUUGUAGCAGAUCAAAGCAUGAAGACAAGCGAAACUCACGGGCGGGCGGCGGAGGGAUGGGCUCCAGAUGCAAGUCGGAUGUUGCCCGCCUCCUGCAUCAUCCUACAAAUAAUAAUCAAUAUUAUAUGUAUAUUAAAUGAGGAGCCUGGGAUGAACGAAAGUAUUAAGUUAAAAAUGGCAGAGCCUUUACUAUUUUACAGUCGAAACAUUAUUUUCACCUAAUUUUUGAACCUAGAUCAUGGCCUAAUAUUACAGUAAUAAUUAGUCGACGCAAUAUUCUUCACUUCUACAGAAUAUUAUGUUGUUGUUGGCAAUUUCUGUUGCGGGUGCCUCCAUGAUAAAUUCGAGCACUUCGCCUACGCAGCUCACGACUUGCUAACCUUAUCCUCUCAGCUGCAUGGUCUUCAAUNNNNNNNNNNNNNNNNNNNNNNNNNGACCCCCCCCCCCCCCCACCCUUCACAGCCGUUCUCCAUCUUUGACCUGUGUAUAUAUUCGCUGAAAGAAAACAAGGUUAAGUGAGAAUCCAAAUGGACAGAGAUCGAAAACAAAAUGAUAAAAUUUUUCAAUAUGUUUGAUUCGGAAUAACAAUUGGAAGAAUCAGUAUGCUUGAUUCAUGCUUUCAAUACUUAAAAUAUUUUGAUUAUGAAAAAUAAUUAAAAUAAAAAUAAAAUUAAAAUACAAAAUAUAAAAGUAAAUUAAAAUUGAGUUUGCACCUAAAAAUAUAUAAUUUUUUAUAAUUUAAACUCAAAGUAAAAGUUAAAUAUUAAAAAUUUACAUCAAAAUAUUGAAAUGAUAAGCCAAGAUUUUAAAUAUUAUUUUUAUAAAAGUUAAAAUUUAAAAUUGAAUGGAUAAUUCAAAAUAUAAAACUAAUUUUUGAUUUGAUUAAAAUUCAAACUUACAAUUAGAUAUAAAUAUAAAUUUACAGAUCAAAUUUAAAAUACUUGAUUGAAUUUAUAUUUUAAUUUAAUUUCUAAUCCAAAAUCUAGAAUUAAAAAUUUAAUUUCUAAAUUUAAAUUUUAAUUUUAAUUAAAAAUUAAAGACAAAAAAUUAAAAUUAAUCUUAAAUAAAAAAUAUAGAAUAUUAUCGAGAUGUUUUUAUUAUAAAGUGGAUUCUUUUCGUGUUGGUUCAACUUUCAAUCCGACCUAAGAGGCCGGAUUGAAAAACAGGUGACCAGGGUAUUCACAUUCAUCCAAAAAUCGGAAUCGGAGUGGAGCUCCCAUAUGUCAAACACCUAUGAAUAGAUUCGUCCAUUCCGAUUCUAAUUUUUGAAUGAAAAAGAUGCAAAUCAAACAUCCUUCUAAAGGCCUUUAAAUAAGAAAUGGCAGAUAUUAUAACCAAUUUUUGGAUUGUAAGCUUAGCAUUUCUCUUAACAAUAAGAGCAUCCCACACUUCUUAAUUAGUAGUCUUAUAGUUAACUCUAUAGGAUUUUUGUGCUUCACCCCUCUCUCUCUCUCUCUCUCUCUCUCUCUCUCUCUCUCUCUCUCUCUCUCUCUCUCUCCCCUAGGAAUUUUAUUUUGUCGACUCAUCACCAAGUUCGGUCCAAUUAUUCCAUUAAUCAUGCGAGAAACUCUAGUACAUGAUAAGGAUAUAUAAAUGUUUAUAUUGAAGUAAUAAAUGUGACUCAAAUUCGGUAAUGAAUUAAUUUAGAAGAAAAUUAAUUUUCAAACUCAUAAAGCCAAUAGAAAAACAUCACAUAUAUGACCCACACGUAAGAAUGAGAUGAGGUGAGAGAGACUAUCGCCGUGGGUUCCAACUGUUAAGAAUAUGCCUUUUUUUUUGAACUUGGAUUGAAUCAAAAUAAUUAACCCAUUAAGUUGGUUCAUAAAAGAUGGCGUAGACUAGCUAGGUCCGCAGAUUACAUCAAAUUGAUUUUAAGUUUAUUCUAUUGGUGCAAGAUUUUAUGUUUAUCUACACGAGUACUAGUCUAAUUAGCAUGUUGAGGCGUGUUGCAUGUGUGGGAAAAUUAAUUAGCCUUGGGCUAAUUAAUUCACAGCCUUUCGGAGGACGUACGCAGCAAGGAGGAAAGACCUUAAUUAAUUAAGAUGGUCCAUCCGUACGGUAGAAGACCGCACCUUUGCAUGCGACAUCGGAUGGAGUCGGCACCUUUGAAUGCGACAUCGGAUGGAGUCGGCAGCAGGAGCGGAGGUUCUCGACCAAUUGUCUGAGCGGUUUGGAUUUUUCGAAUCAACGACAAAAGGAAUUUGUUCAGAUUUUCUAUACUAUCUCAUUUUUACGAAAAAGAAAAAUCGGUAUUUUUUUGGAGUUCUUGUUGGAACAAAAAAGGUAGAAUUUAUUAUAAGGUUCUUGAUUUCUAUCCGGAGAAGGCAUAAGGUGUAAGCUUGUAUUUCUAUUUUUUCAUACAGUGAAAUAUAUCUCUUUCGCUUUUUUCGUGAACGUAGGCAAUUGCUGAACCAGAUAAAUUUUGGUUUCUUCUUUCUGUAUUUAUUUUUUUUUAUCGUUUGUUUGGUAUUUUUUUUAUUUUUUGUAUAUCUUUGUUGGUAGCGCAUGACGGAUGAUCCAUCCGGCCGCGGUUCACACCAACGUGGCUGUGAUUUGUUUUACUUCCCUCUUUUUUCCUUCAUAAAAAUAACAAGGAAAUCAUUAUGGACCUUCUCCAUCAAUCACCACUUCUUUUUUUUUUUUCCUUUUUCUUUUUUUUUUGAGAAAAUCUCUAUCAAGGUUUUGAAAAUCCAAAUUAAAAUGUCAUAGCUAGCUUAAAGUUUCGAGCACAGUCCCAUUACUAGAUAGCUAGGUUGAAGAAGCCAAAACAUAAUUUUGAACGCGUCCAUGGACCGCGCAAUAGAAUGGACGUGAGACACGCACAACGUAUGUGAGUAUAAGUCCAAUUAAGCGUCGUUGAAAAGUCAAGUACGUAAUGAAACAAAAAGAAAUUAGCCUCUGGUAGUGCCAAUGAGAGGGCAUCGUAUAUCUUCUAUCUGCUUUGAAUUCCGUGAUGUAAACAACAUAUAUAAAUAUAUAUAUAUAUAUAGAGAGAGAGAGAGAGAGAGAGAGAGAGAGAGAGAAGAGAGAAUCUAAGCUACACAAAUUAAAAGAUUUUAAUUUUUCAAAAGUUUUAACUUCAAGUAUUUAAAGUUAUUUGCAAAAAUAAAAAAAUAAAAUCUCGAAUUUUCAACACUUGCUUCUAUAGAUUAUUUUGUCCCUUUUCUUUUUUCUUUUUUUUUAACCUAAAGAAAUAAACCAUAUAUAUAUAUAUGUAUAUGCUCUGAUAAAGAUAAGUAUGAGCAAAAGUUGGCUCAAUUUAUUAGGCUUCGAGAAAGUUAGGUUGCAUGCUAAGAAGUGGGUGGGUUCGUUCUCUAUGACCCAUCUUUAUCUUUGUUUUCUUCACAAGGCAAUAUAAUUCAAUGCAAAAUAAUUCAAAAUGGUCAUGUAUGAGUAUGAAUAUCAGGUUUUAUCUAAUCUUAUACGCCAUAUAAAAGGAUUUGGGCGGUUUAUAAUUUGCUCUGAGCUAUGACUUUGUGCUUAAUUGUAACGACAUCUUACGUACCGUUUUUGAUUGAAUAAAUUAAGUUCUUCUUCGAUCAUUAAAAGAAAAAAAAAAAAAAGAAAAAAAAAGAAAAAGAAGAUCCAGCUGGGGCCUUGGGCACACCAUGCACGGAACUAAGUACGAGGACGUGUAGGACAAUAAAAUCAAGCAGGUAGAUGCUGCAGGGGUUGUUGGAUCUCUCUCGCUUUCGCUACUAAUUAAGUUACAUCAUGGGAGGGGCCCAUUCUUUAAUUUGUCAAACUCCACCACUCGUAUUCCACGUUGAAAUAGACCUCUCUCUUAGUCAAAACUCCAUCACUUCCACUUGCAUUAAUUCAAUGUUGAAAUAGAGAGAAGUAAGUUAACUAUUCAAGAAUAUUUUAGAGAAUGUUUGCGUUUGGUUAUAAGUAAGAAAUUUUAUUUUUUGCUUCUUUAGAAUUUUUUUUUUUUUUUUUUUAUUUGCAGAGAUAGCACGCUACCCGGCCUUCGUUUCUUUAGAAACUUGCUGUCCAUAAUUGUUAGAUGACGGCAUAUUAAUUUGCAUUCGAUGAUAAUUUAUCUUGUAGAAAAAUGACUUGAAUUCGACUAUCAUAUAUCUUUUUUCUCCUAAAUAUUGAUCAUAAUCGCUUAUCAAUUAAAUUAAUGUUCAAACGCUACAAAUUUUGUUGAGUAAAUCAGAAGAUAAACUGGCACACGAUUUUCACGCAGAGCGUUAGUUUCAGUUGAAUUUCGGAACAACUUAUCGGUGCAAAGUUUCUUGUGUGCUAAAUUUAUUUUACUCCCUAUAGAAUUUUCAUCCAUAAUUUAAUCAGAUAACAUAUUUCACUUGCAAAAUGAUUUAUCUUAUUUUUACUCCUGAUAGAAAUUUCCAUCCAUAAUUUUGAUAGAAAACAAUUCGCAUGAAAAAAAUUAAUUUAUUCCGAAAAUUGAUUAAAAGUUGAAUAUGUUGUCUUUAUUUCUAUGUUUAAUCACAUUCUUAUCUACAAAAUGUACAAUUUUGAGUAAAUAAAAUUACAUCCAAAUAAGUAUAUUUUAUAAUUCCAAACUGACCUUAAUCAAAUCACUAAUAAUUGCAAGUGCGUAUAUAUACAUUAUUUUAUAUUAAUGUAUCACUCAGAAGAAGAAUCUAAUCCUAAUAACCGCAUGGUUAUUAAGACAAAGACUCAAACUUUGUGAUAAAGAUACCACAUGGCGCGCACAAUACCUCUAAGAUAAAAAUAAAGAACAAACUCUUUUAACUUAUAAUCAUGCGAACCUAAUAAUUUUGAUCCUAUCAAUAACUUUUUAGAAGACCAUUAAUUGACCGUUACUAACCAAGCGGCAAAGUGCUGAAUCGAUUCGUAUAUCCAAGAUGUUGCAAAAUACAAAUCUAAUUUACUCAAUAUUUAACUUAAAAUUUAUUUUUUUAUGCCAAAAUAAAAUAACAAUAGUACGUAUAUUCAUUUCUACGAAGGCCAUGCACCCGCGGGGAAAUCCAGAUUCGCGCUUCGAAUCUCUGAUCCCAAUGACGGUGUCAAUUAGAAUUUUGGUUUACUUAACUCUACGCGGAGGUGUGGGUUCAUGAGUCGACGAUCGCAGAUUUAAGCUGUGGACAAGACCAACAGAAAAUUUUUAAAAAUGAAAAAUAAUAAUAAGAAAAUAGAUACAAAGAUAUUAGAGUACUAGUGUGAAACCGCGCGAUGCAGCGCGGUAGAUAAUAAAAUUUCAACAUUUAAAAUUUAAAAACUAAAAUUAUAUUUUAGAAUUUAAAUACUAAUUUUUCUAAAUUAUAAAAUUUGGAAUGAAAGUUAUAUGGCUCCAAAACAUCACUAUUCUUCAAUAAAUUGUGUCUAGAAACUUUAAAAUUUUACCAAAUUCUAAAAUUCAUACUAUAAAUUUCAUGCUAUAAAGUUCAAAAUAAAAUAAGUCUCUUACACAUAUCUAUUAAAUAUCUUUCAAAUAUUAUAAAAAUUAGAUCUUAUGAUAGUUUUGCUGGAAAAAUCUUCACUUCUCUUCUUCAUCCGAAUCAGAAGACUGGAUUAAAAUGCAAAUAAGAGUACACAUUCAAGUUAUUUAAGGUAAUAUUUUAAAACUUCUUAUGAACAUAAUUUUGAAAAGUAUAUAUAGAAAACAAUGUUAGUAAUUAAAUUUUUCCUGAUGAAACAAUUAAAAUUACUAUCUACUAUGCUUAAAAAAAAAAAAAAUUCUAUAUUACCUGAGCAUUCUUUUUUUUUCCUCUUGAUUUCCUCGCAGUUUUCUCCAACUUGUUAUUUGAGCUUCUCAUUUGAUAAUUUCAAAAUUGUACAUACAAAAUAAUUAAAAUAAAUAAACAAAUUAAACUUGACGAAGAUGGAUUAAUUAGAAGUCUUGUGGAGGAAAAGUGAAGGAUCAUAAUAAAUUAAUUAGAAAUAAAAUGGUGAGAAUUAUAAAUGACAGGGGGAAUAUUUAAAUACAUUAAUUGGAAGUUUAGUAGUGGGCCAUUUUAGAUGUAUUAAUUAGAUACGUUAAUUAAAAAUUUAAUAGAGAAUUUAAAUACAUUAAUUGGAAGUUUAGUAGUAGACCAUUUUAGAUGUAUUAAAUAGAUACGUUAAUUAAAAAUUUGAUGAAGAAAAGGCGAAGAAUCACAUGGUAGUGAAGGUGAAAAAAAACUUAACAUGGAACCAUUUAAAUACAUUAAUUGAAAGUGUAGUAGUAGGCUAUUUUAGAUGUAUUAAUUAGAUACGUUAAUUAAAAAUUUGAUGGAGAGAAAGAGAAAGAAUCAUAUGGUGGUGAAGGUGAAAGAAAACUUGCCACGUGGCAAAACGUAUUGUGGAUUCAUAUAAUUUAAUAGAUUAAUAGAUGUCUCCCUCACAGUCACGCGUAUACAAAUAUAGAGCAUUAAAUCUUUUUAUUUAUUUAUUAAGUGGUAUCUUAAUUAAAUUUUUAUUAUUUUAACAGUCGAUCGAAUGAAGUUGUUAGUUUAACAAUUAAAUAUAAUAUUAAUAAAUUGAUAUUUUGUUAGACGUGUUGAUGCAAUUGAUCAAUAAUUAAUUACUAGCAUGUUUUCGUUGGGCCGUAUUUAUUCGACCUUAAGUAUUUAAAAAGAAAAACCCUUUGGGCUCUAUAUAUAUACCACGCAAUUUUGUACUAUAGCUAACUACAAUUGGCCCGUAGGACCUAGUUCCAAAUAGGCUCGAUUAUACACGACCCUAACUUGAAUUUAAGCACAACCAUUUGUUACUAACUUGAAAUGAGCUGUACUGGCUCGCCAAAAGCCAAAAGGGGACGUACAUCCUACACCUCGCCUACUGGAUGAAUAGAGUGUAACUUGUACACCUCUGAUGGAGUGUACAAAUAGCAUUUUUCUUCUUCAGUAACUAACGUCCUUGACGCGUUUAGCUUCUUUUGGUAUCCUAUUCAUGGAAGUUCCUCCAACCUAAUCUCCGGAUUUUGCUUUUUAAGUCCAAGUGAUCCCAAUUAGAUACUACAAAUUUCAUCAAACAUCUCAACGCUUUACUCUCUUAGAUAUCUCUCUCAUGUGUUGCCUCAAAACUUUUAGGGUGCGUUUGGUUCGCAUUAUGAAAAAUUACUAGGAAUAAAAGAUAUUCUAGAAUCUUAUUUCUAUUCAUUCUAUUACUAAGAAUGUGGAAUUUUUAUGUUUGGUUCGCACAGUAAUAUUAAUUAGCCAUAUUAUUUAAUAUUACAAAAAUUAUAUAAUUAAUUAAUUAAUUUAUUUAAUUAAUUUUAGAUAAUGUUACCAAAAGUUUGAAUAUCUUUUUAGAAAAAAGGGAGAAAGAGUAUAAGUUAGAGAGAGAGCAUAAUUAAAAAAAUAGAAAGAAAAAUAUAGUCGAAAUUAGAGAGAGUGAGAGAGUUGAAAUUUUAGAAAGGAGAGGGAUGAGAGAAAGCUUAGUUUAGAGAGAGAAAAAGUUGAAUUUUAGAGAAGAAAAAUAAGUUUAGAGAGAGAUUAAGUUAGAGUGUAACGAAAAAUAAUAUCAAUUAGCGGCGGGUAAGAGAAAGAAAAGAUUAGACAUAUUAUGAUUAUCUCAAUCCAUUAAUAUGAGGAUACCCACCACUUCCCUCAAAGGAAUGAGUUAGUAUCUUUGGGGUGAUCUUAUUCCCAAUGUGAUCCAAUAUUACCAACUAGGAUUUACUUAGUGCGUUUAGCCAAUACCGUCAUAUUUUUUUAUUCCAUUGGAUUACUAGAAACUUUUAUAAAAAAUAGCACGAACAAACUCACCUAUAUGGUAAUCUUUUUCCCGAAGACUGCUGAAAUAAGCUUUCUUAAUUAAUGUGACUCAAAUUAAGAUGCAUCCAAUUCUCAAAGUCAGGACAUAAAACGAGAAGCCGCAGCAACCAAACAAAACCCCUUCCUUAAUUUAUUUGCCACUGCUUCUCAUUGUUCUCUUCUUCCUUGUAUUUUUCUAUGGUUACAAUCCUAGGGACCACACUCCCUUAAUACCUCUCCUUUUUAUUUUAGCACUAAAACAAACAAAGAUCUAUAAUAAUCAUAUAUUAAAGAGGAUAUAUAUUUUAUAUAUGACUCAAAAAAAAAAAAAAAAAAAUUGUGUGAGAGUGGGAUUUGAACCAGCCCUUUCGGACCAGACCUUAAUCUGGCGCCUUAGACCAACUCGGCAUCUCAACUUUCCUGUAUAUUGUUUUCUUCGUACAUUCAUGAUAAUCUAUUUUUUCACGCAGUGAAAUUCUUGAACGGAAAGUAAAUCAAUAGAAAUUCCCACGGAUUAGAAUGAAAUUGAUGGAGGAUACAUCCAAAAAUGUUGAGGGUUACAUGGCAAUUUUACAAUGGGGUACGCAUACAACAGCCUCAUGGCAAAAUCCCCAGUUCCUUUGAUACAUGUGUGUACAAAGAUUAGUUCCUACGCACUAGCAUGUUUAGAAGUGCACAGUCUAUUUCACGCGGCUAAUCAGCUCACUCUCCGAGACCUCCCUCGGGCAGUUCGAAUGAAUCGAUCUCUGCGAAAUACGCUCUUGUUCUCCACAAAUCUGGUGGUAAAAUCGGCUUCCUCGAUAGCUUCGUAUGUAUUCUCACGCUGCUUCUGCAUAAAUAUCAGGCAAAAUAAGAAUUGCCAAUGCAUUAAAACAUAGUACAUUACCAAAGUGAUGUGACAUAAAAAUUCAUAGAACAUAUCAGAAGAAACAAAUGUAUACUAAAUUAUCUCUUUUGGAUACUAAGGUGCCUCAAUUUCCUUCUCACCAUACUGAAGAGCUAAUGUAAUUAAAUGGUCUACUCUUGUGAAAUGUUGAUUUAUUAAUCUUGGUUUGUCGCUCAUAAAGAGAGGAGGAAAUAAGUUGAGCGGCUCCCACUGUUAAUAGCCUACAUCCCUCGUAGGCUCAAAGAUCAAACUGCUCGCAACUAUGUGAACAAGAAUUCUAAACGUCAAUAUGAGAACCGACAUGAAAUAAUCAUAGCAAUAGCGAUGACCAAGUAGUGAUGCGUUUGAUUGAAAUUUCUUUUUUUACAGUUAGCAGUAGAAUCUAGAUAUUUGUAUGGUGAACUACAUAGAUAUUAACAUUUGCUGUUCAAAGCAUAUGAGAUUCAUCUGGACAACUGGACCUAUAUCAACUAAUCUGACAUUUACCUUCUACAAAUCACUGAUCAACAUUUUUAUGCUCCCUAUCUUUAUUGCAAAAUAAAAAAAAAUUCUAAAAAAGACUAACGGAGGUUUUAAUCAGAAUAUCUUAAUGUUGCAGAUAUUUAAUGAAGCUUAUAUAAGCCAUGUAAUCAUAACCAAAAGGCCUACACUAUCGCUAUAGUUUCUAGAAGAUAACAAUGUUUUUGACUGUUUAUCACUCACAAAGCUUUCUUACACACAAGUUUUAUCUGAUAGUAUUUUCAAUUCAAGAAAGCAGCCUAAAGCAUUAAAUUUGCUUUUUUCUUUUUGAGAGAGAGAGAAAGGUAGCAACUAUAUAUAUAUAUAUAUAUAUAUAUAUAUUAGAGGAAGAUGAAUAGUAGGACAGCAUGCUUCAAUAGUGCAAUGUAGCCAAGCAACAAUCCAUAACAUCUCCAAUUUUAAUUCUCCCUUUUACUCUAUGGACGGAGAUUAAUUGAAGGUGAGACAUAAUAAAUAUUGAUGUACCGAUUGGUCUCCAAGAAGCAGCGCAAAUAUGUUCAAAUGCCCGCAUGCUGCUAAUUGUUUCUUGAUAUCUAAUGAAAGCAUCCCUUUAUUUUUAAUUCGACUUUGUUGAACUUUCUAUAUAUUCCGGAUUAAAUAAAAUAAAAACCAUAGUGUAGCUAGCUAGAAACGCAAUGUUUAUACACAGGUGUACGUCAGGGAAAUAAUUUAAGCAGAAAUUAAUUGUUAUUAUUAAGUGUCGUGCUGGUCCAAACCAUUUCUCUCUUUCUAUUUCAAUUAACCCCAAGUUUUUCUACAGGAAUCUUUCAAUCUGCACAUAGAUUAGAAAAUAUCUAUUAUGUAUAGUUACUAAUUGUCACUGUAACUAUCGCUUAGCAUAGUAUAAUCCAAGACAAGGAAGAAUGAAUUAAUAUAUAGGCCCCGCGAUUGAUGUAUAGAUCUAUUUGUCACUCAGCUAAUAGCAAUAAAUCCAAAGACAAGGACGAAGAGUAUAUAUAUAUAUAUUAUUAUAUCUUAUAUAUAUAGAGUGAUCUAGGAUACUUUUAUAAGUAUAUUCCCCAUGUUGUAUAUUACGUUUUUAGCAUUGGAUUCUAUUUUGAUUACAAAUAACUUGGAUCAACACUAUUCCCUACCACACCUACUCCCAUAUCUCAACCUCACAUCUCUCCAUCCAAGGGCUAAAAACACAAAGUAUCACUUGGGUGAUACUUGUAAAAGUAUUCUAGCCUACUACAUUAUUAUAUAUAUAUAUAUAUUAUAUAAUAUAAUAUAUAUAUAUAUAUAUUAUAUAUUAUAUAUAUAAUAAUCUGGACUAUAUACUAUUAUGAGUAUUGGAGCCUCGUACUCAUAAGUUGUUUUCGAUGAUGGAGCUUCCGAAUCGACGAUCCACUUGUUAAAUAUGAUCUAAAAUAUUUUGAAAUUUUUAGAAAUAAUUUCGUAACUUUUCGAACUAUAAUAAAGUCCAUCAAGCGGGCAUAAAAUGAACGGUCAAAAUCAAACGACGUCCUAAAAGGAUGAUCGAUCCUUCAAUUCAAGAUCGGAGUUAUUGAUCUUUAUCUAGGUAUUGAAUAGAAUUUUUUUAUCAAAAAUUCAAUAAAUUCCGAUUCUUUUACACCAUUAAACUAGCAAGUAUUCCAUACCGACCAUUAAAAAUUGUCCAAAUUUUGUGACCUUUGAUAGUGAGGUAAAUGAUGUCGAAAAUUAUAAAAUUUGAUUUUUAGGAGUUUUAAAUACUGUAAAUAACGUUUUAACGGUGUGGAUCGUCGAUUCGGAAGCUCUAAUCAUCGAAAACAACAUUAUGAGUACGAAAACGAUCGUACUCAUAAUAGGUAUAAUAGCCAGACCCUACAUAUAUAUAUAUAUAUAUAUAUAUAUAUAUAUAUAUAUUUAUUAUAUAUAUAUAAUUAUAUUAUAUAUAGGCCCCGCGGUUUCUCUAUAUAUGUCGAUGGUACCAAAAAUUGAUUCAUGCGCCUCAUUGCUCUAUCUCAACGUUCCUUCACAUUGUUAUUUAGGUAUGCUUAUUCUUUCAUCCUUUCUCCGCCUUUGGUAUGUAUAAAAAUUUAUUUUUUUGUCCAAGGAAAUUAUUUUUCUCUUUGGGCAUAGGUAUUCGAUUAAACGCAUUUAGUUGGCAUGAAUCUAGCAUAUUAUUGUUUAAUUUAUUUACCGUACAUAAAUAUGCUUUACUCUUUGAGUUUAAUGGGGAGACUUUUGCAUACAUACAUACAUAUAUAUAUAUAUUAUAUAUAUAUAUUAUAUAUAUAUUAUAUAAUAUAUAAUACUUAUUAUAUAUAUAAUAUUAAUUAUUAUAUACUAUACAACAUGCCGAUGAAUGAAUAGUACAUGCAGUUCCUUUUCUCAAAAUAUCAAUAUUCAAGCGGUAAAAGGGGGGGGGGGGGGGAAAUUCUUGAGUUAUGAGCAAUUGCUCGUAGAAAGUAAAAGGUUCAGAGAUUAAAGAUUUGAUUCACUUUGAUUAUAUAUAUACCUUCAUGUACCCUGGUAAUCGCUACUGUUUCCUCUAUGGCUUAUCUUUAGGGAUGCCAACAGGACAGAUUUAGGGGCUGGCGCUCCGCCUCCUGCCCGAUUAUCAAAAUUUCGCUCCGCCUUUCGCUCUGCAUUUGUGACAGGUUAAAAAAAUAUAUUUUAAUUAUAAACCAUCUUCUGCCGGCGCCCCGAAUCCGUCCAAGCUAACUAUUAAUUUUUUUUUACAAAAUAUAAUAUUAUUAAUAUUUUUUAAUAAUAAUGAAUAAUAUUGUUAAAUUAUAUAUGUAAUUAACAACAUCAAUUAUAAAAAUAAAAAGUAUUAAUUAUAAUUUAAAAUAAAAAUUCAAAUAUUUCAAAUACAUGAAAAAUAAGUGUGUAAACUUAUUUGUAUUUUAGACUUUUUUUUUUCUGAAUACAUUAUUUCUUGGGAGUAUUUCCUUAAAAUAUACACGGUUUUGGGGGCUAAUUCGGGGUGGCGGGGCGGAUUCUGAGAGGAUUAAAUUUUUUUAUUUUCUAUCCCGAAUCUGUUGCGGAUCACCAAAAUCAUUCCAAUUUUCUAUCCGGAAUCUAUUUAUUUUUUUUUUAUUUCCUUGCCCCAUUCGGAGGAUCGGGGUAGGAGCUGCACCGCAACCGGAAUCCCUUUGCAUCCCUAGUCACCUUUUUAAGCCUUUUGUCAUUAAAUCAAGUAUCUUUACUUUCUGUUUUAUUGCUUUCAUUUUUCUUCAAAACAUUAGAGAGUAGGGGAUCGUAACUCUCCGAAAAAAUAGCAUCGGAUGUGAUGGUUUGGUGACUUAGGUUGCAUGCUUAAGUGGCGUGGUUGAAUUGAGUUACUAGCUCGUGUGAACAAGAUAGGCUAAUGGAAAGAAGCCAAUUUAUAUAAUGGGAUACAAGUAUGACGGCUCAACGCUACCAAAAAAAUAGUUGGGUCAUUGUGUCGUGCGUGUAAACUCAGAUGAUUUCCGAGGGGGGCAGCUUAAGAUACAUCGGCUCGGAUGAGUGAAUUCGCAUUAGGUCGGAAGUCAUUGAAUGGCAUGUCUUAGUGAGUGACCAAAAAGGUCUACAGAUCUUGAUUGUGACUCGGCCGAACUAGCCUCACGCCACUUCUUCGAAUAUGACAAAGUUCAUCCCCUUCAGUGUCUUUGGCGCUAAUCAUUAAUUCCAAAAAUUCGAACUAUUAGAAAUACAUAGUUAACACCACAUCUACGGAUAUUAAUUAUGAUUCAGUCCAAUCAACUUCAUGCCAUUUCGAGCAUGAUUUGAUUUAACCUGACAUCCUGCCGUAAGAAAGAAUGCUGGCUUAUUAAAGCCAACAAUUUAUGCAUAAAAAUAUUGCCGCAUAAUAAUUAAUAAUAUAAAAUAAAUAAAAAAAAUAAACGAACUAACGUGCUCAGAGCUAACAGACCUAAACUUUUUGGUGAAUGCGUUGUGGCAUCCUAGUAAUUAAAUUUUGUCACAUUUUUAGGUCUAUGUGGACUUGAGUUAGCCUUGGUCAGCCAGCCAUCGUGGACUAACAGUACAGGGUCCCACAUUGAUGGAAAUGUUUUUUGAGAAAAAGGUAGCACGCUACCCGCUUCACACAUUGAUGGAAAUGUUGAAGAUAAUUAUUGAACAAAGACACUGACAAAUAGCAGUUGGAUGGUGGCCACGCUGGUCAAUUAUCAAUUUACAGAUCUAGUGAAAUUAGUGCAUUAUCAUAAAAAUUUAUCAUCAUAUUGACCUGCCACUAAAACUAAAAUCAAAUUGUUGCAGUCGCAAAAGAAAAUCUCUACACAAGGCAAAUCAUGGACGGUGAGAUUACUUUGUCAGAAAAAUGUUAUUAAUUCUUACAAACAACUUGUACAAUAAUUUAUAAAAUUUAAAUUUAGUUGUUAGACUUCAUUCUUUGCCUUGUAAAUUACAACAAUGACCUCAUAAAUGGUACCUUUUUGCCAAUUAAAUAUUGCUACGUAACCAAAUGUGUAAAACGUUGUAAAAUUUAUUUGUAAAUAUAAAAUUAUCCAAAUUCUUGAGAGGUGCAUAUGAGGGGUAGGGGUGGAAACGAGCCGAACUCGAGCGAGCUUAUGUCAGCUCAAAUUCGGCUUGAAAUUAAUUUCGAGCCUAAAUUUAGACUCAAGCUCGGCUUGAAAUUAAUUCGAGCCGAGCUCGAGCGAGCCUAAUUUCGAGUCGAACUGAGCUCGAGCUCUAAACGAGCCGAUUGAAAUUCUCGACAUUAUAUAAUCAAUAGUUUAAUUUUUAUAGAACAUUACCUACAAUUUGAUGCAACAUGUCCAAUAGUUCAAAAUACAAAAUAAUUAUAAGAAAUGUGAGCUAGGGUGACUUCUUGACUCGAUGAGGGUCUGAGAGAGAGAGAGAGAGAGAGAGAGAGAGAGAGAGGAAAAAAAGUAGGGAUUUGAAAAUUUGAAUGUUAUCAUGUUUUAGGGUUAUGUGCAACAGUGAAAGUCUGAAAGAGAGAGUGUGUUAUGUAAAUUUAGAGUUGGGCUCAAUUGCACGUUUGUACUUGUUAGGUUUAUUUUAUGGGCCAACAAUAAUGGCCCAAAUUAAAUUAAAGCCUAUAUAUAAUUAAAAUACAUUAUAUGUAUAAAUAUUAUAUAUAUAUAUAGAGUCCGGCUACUAUACUUUUAUGAGUAUUGGCUACUAUACUUUUAUGAGUACUAGGGGACCACUAUCAUUCUAAGUGGGGACCACCAUCAUCCUAACCACACAUCCCAUCAAUCAACGGUUAAAAAUUUAUGAGUACAAGGGGGUCUAUACUCAUAAGAGUAUAGUAGCCCCGGCCUAUAUAUAUAUAUAUAUUCGAGCUUUUCGAGCUUUUCGAGCCUAAUUCGAACGAGCCGAGUAAUACUCAAGCUCGGCUUGAAAUGAAUUUCGAGCCUUUUAUUUUGUUCAAGCUCGGCUUAUUUAAUUUCGAGUCGAGCUCGAGCGAGCCGAAUAUCGAGCCGAACACGAGUCGAACGCGAGCCGGCUCGCUCGUUUG
RNAcentral lists this long non-coding RNA (18335 nucleotides) under Ananas comosus (pineapple). RNAcentral's name for it is "long non-coding RNA (ACOM_LNC018976)". The record is from RNAcentral. Lineage: Eukaryota; Viridiplantae; Streptophyta; Magnoliopsida; Poales; Bromeliaceae.